RNAcentral lists this ribosomal RNA (451 nucleotides) under uncultured bacterium. RNAcentral's name for it is "bacterial SSU rRNA". It matches the Rfam family "Bacterial small subunit ribosomal RNA", at positions 355 to 825 of the family's 1533-position model. The record is from RNAcentral.
ACGAGAAUAUUCCGCAAUGGACGAAAGUCUGACGGAGCGACGCCGCGUGAUGGAUGAAGUGCCUUGGUACGUAAACAUCUUUUAUCGGGGACGAAGUUUAUUGACGGUACCCGAUGAAUAAGGAGCUCCUAACUCUGUGCCAGCAGGAGCGGUAAUACAGAGGCUCCAAGCAUUACCCGGAAUCACUGGGCGUAAAGGGUGUCUAGGCGGCCAUAUUAGUCUCUCGUUAAAUGUCCGAGCUCAACUUGGUCACUGCGAGGGAAACGGUAUGGCUCGAGGGCGUGAGAGGUGCAUGGAACUCAUGGUGGAGGGGUGAAAUCCGUUGAUAUCAUGGGGAACACCAAAGGCGAAGGCAAUGCACUGGUACGUUCCUGACGCUCAAACACGAAAGCUAGGGUAGCGAAGAGGAUUAGAUACCCCUGUAGUCCCUGAGCGGGCUGGCAAGGCGCAU